GGAUGUGAGGCCAAUCUGGCUGCAAUAUUUAGUACACUGUGGAUCACAAGCGUUGGUUGGAUUGGGCUGGCUGGCUGGCUAGGCGGUGUCCCCUACUUCCCUCACCACUCCAUGUGUGUUCCUCCUGAAGCUGCCCCCUUGAACAAAGAGGAAGUUUGUCCUCAUAGACGAGAAUCUUCCUAGUCAAGGGUAUUCUAGUAACUUCCCUCCCCUGCUAGAAUCUCCAAACAAGCUUCAAUCCAUGUGUAGAAUAACACAAGAUAGUCAAGUCUCAGACUCUAGCAUGAAAAUGAGGCCCACAUGUGACCUACUGCCUUUCUUU
Molecule: small nuclear RNA, 322 nt
Filed under: Myotis davidii
Lineage: Eukaryota; Metazoa; Chordata; Mammalia; Chiroptera; Vespertilionidae
Description: 7SK RNA
Rfam family: 7SK RNA
About the family: 7SK was discovered as an abundant small nuclear RNA in the mid-70s but a possible function has only recently been suggested. Two independent studies have found that 7SK RNA binds the CDK9/cyclin T complex (known as elongation factor P-TEFb). P-TEFb activates transcription by phosphorylating the C-terminal domain of RNA polymerase II.
Source: Rfam by way of RNAcentral